CCUACGGGAGGCAGCAGUGAGGAAUAUUGGUCAAUGGACGAGAGUCUGAACCAGCCAAGUAGCGUGAAGGAUGACUGCCCUAUGGGUUGUAAACUUCUUUUAUAUGGGAAUAAAACGUUCCACGUGUGGGAUUUUGUAUGUACCAUAUGAAUAAGGAUCGGCUAACUCCGUGCCAGCAGCCGCGGUAAUACGGAGGAUCCGAGCGUUAUCCGGAUUUAUUGGGUGUAAAGGGAGCGUAGGUGGAUUGUUAAGUCAGUUGUGAAAGUUUGCGGCUCAACCGUAAAAUUGCAGUUGAAACUGGCAGUCUUGAGUACAGUAGAGGUGGGCGGAAUUCGUGGUGUAGCGGUGAAAUGCUUAGAGAUCACGAAGAACUCCGAUUGCGAAGGCAGUUCACUGGACUGCAACUGACACUGAGGCUCGAAAGUGUGGGUAUCAAACAGGAUUAGAUACCCUAGUAGUC
RNAcentral lists this ribosomal RNA (460 nucleotides) under uncultured bacterium. RNAcentral describes it as "partial 16S ribosomal RNA". It matches the Rfam family "Bacterial small subunit ribosomal RNA", at positions 338 to 795 of the family's 1533-position model. The record is from RNAcentral.